UCUUCAUUUUUGUGGUAUAUCUGUUUCAUCUUCACUUCGAGUUUAUGCUUUUGUUUUCUGCUGAGUUUUGAAAUUUCUGUUCGAAUAAAGGUUUUACUUUUGCUGUUGUGCAUCUUUUUUUCAGGGUCAUGGUUUAACUUUUCUUUUCUGUUAUGCGUGUUUAUUUGGUGAUUCAUAGUUUUUUGUUUCGUGUUUCUUCUUCCUCUUUCGUUGCUUCUGUAGUUCAAGGUGGGACUGUUGUGCAUGUCUGUGUUUGGUGGGGCUGUUGUUGUUUUCCUGCGGUUCUUUUUCUUUGAUUUGUCUGAUUUUUUGUGGUUUUAUUUUUGGAACAGGCUACAGUAACAACGACGACUUUGGCAAAGAAGUUGUCGGAGAAGUUAAAAGGAAGAUAGAGGUUCUUCUCUUUUGAUUUUAUUAAAACAGUGUUUAAGUUUUGAUUUUAUUUUUGUUGUUAUGCAUGUUUUCUUCUUAAUAAUAAUUAUUUUUUCUUACUGAUUUUUCAACUCUAUUUCUGGUUCCUUUUUAUUUUUCUGGGCUAUCGACGAAGAAGCAUCCAGCAGGCAAGUUUUUCCCCUUUUGUUGUUAUGCAUGUUUGUUUCAUUACUCCCUAUGAUAUUGUGUGUAUAUGUCAAUUUGUUUGGGCCCCUUGGGUGGAGUACCCUCAAGUAUAGGGUAUUUGGUUUUACUAAAUUAUGAUGGAAAAAGCAUUGACUGUUGAUGAAGACCUUCAUAUUUUUAUAUAGAUGAUUAAUAAACUAUUUUCUAAGUUUAACUACUUCUUCUAUGAAUGUCAAAUUGCUAUCAUAAUCUAAAUUCCAAGUUUGCAGUUACGAGACAAUUUUUCUGUUGUUUCCAGAUUUGGGCUUGCGGCAUACAACUGUAUUCCAUCUAAUUAGUUGCCUCAAUGGAUCCUUUUGAUGAUCUUCCAACAAGAGAGAUUCAAUGAUAUCACUACUUUCUUUUUGUUGAUUGAAAACCCUACUCUAAACUUUGUUCCUGUGACAUUUGUUUUUACUAUGGUGUGCAGUGGCCGAAAGAGGCAUGGAUUCUGGGUCAAGAUGUUUCUCCUGGGUGUUGCAGAUUAUUUUGGUAUCGCAAGGAAUGAUCCCAAAGUAAUAAUUUCCCCUCUCUUUUUAUUUUAUUUUUGUGGUUGAGUCACGGGAUUCUUCUCUAGUUAAAGCUGUUCAGAUUCAAAAUAGGAAGCAAAUUAGGUGACUGAUGAAAUUUCCAAAAUAGGUACUUGCACAGGAAAUAGGUACUUCCAUGAGGGUCACAAAUGAUUAAAGUUCAAUUUCAUUAUUUAAUCUCUUAUUCUCUUUCAAGUAUUAUACUAUACAAUAGUGUUUUUAUAAAAAUAGGUUUUCUUUUGCAUUAUUCGACUUAUUAUUUGUAGUAACCAUGAUCAAUAAUCAACAGGGAGAUUCACCAGCAUAGAUGCAGAUUUAAAUGUCUUGACGGGUUGUUGGUGUUCUUUUUCCUGUUACUUUAUUCUUUGAAAUUAAUGUUACUAUUAUUCAAUAUUUGAUGCUUGCCUUUAUACUGCAAAAUUUGUGUGUAACUGCAGCACAUCAGCCUAUUAAAGAGAUAUUAGAAAAAGAAAAAAGGUACGUCUCUUUUUUAUGUUAGUGUUAUGCUUGGUAUCUAUGGGUUUGUCACUGCUUUUGAUGGUAAGUUACAGUUAGGUUGCAUGCAUAAAUCUUUCCAUAAAGUCUACAUGCUAUUUGCAUGUGUUACUUACUUACUAAUACCAUUUACCUUUUAAAAUCACUAAUCUGAAUUUUCACAUUCCUGAUGAUGAAGAUCUGGGAAGAGUUAUAAAGCUUUCAAAUUGAGUUGAAGUGAUUGAGUUUGGAUUUUUUUUUCUUUGGCAAGGAGAUUAAAGAGAGAAUGAAAAAAUGAUGGAGGUUGUGAUUGUUGCAAUUGCUGCUACACUUGUAAAUCUUCUGAUGGGAUGGGAUAGUUCAACUAUUGCAGCGGGUAUGACAGAGCCUUAGGAUAUAGUUGCCUACUGGAGUUCAUGGCCUGGGAUCUUUGGAGUUCGUCCUAUGCCCAAGGUUUCUCUGAGUCACAUUCCUUUCCGAAGAGCCCCAGAGGACUCACUAGAAUAAGGUUGGUCAAAGACAAUGAAUGUCUAAAGAUAGAAUAAAGAUACUCAAUAACACGGACCACCCCUUUUAUAUAUUCAUGGAUGUACUCUCUGUCUGUUUCCCUUUCAUUUCUGUUACUGCAUUCUUUUCCAAUUAGACUGAAACCUGCAUGUCAAAGUAGCUUUCA
Molecule: long non-coding RNA, 2274 nt
Organism: Glycine soja
Lineage: Eukaryota; Viridiplantae; Streptophyta; Magnoliopsida; Fabales; Fabaceae
Exons: 2
Source: RefSeq, a predicted model, not a curated record